GGCCAGUCACACGAUCAUCCUGCCCUCCUCCUCCCACUCCUGCACUGAGGGGCUGCUUGAAAAGGAACACAGAAGAAACUGUGGCAGAGAAAUUGCCUUUCUCCUAAGACAGACAGAGACCAACAAGAAGCCAAAAGCUCUGCAAAAAAAGGGGCCCCUCAUCUUCAGCCUCUUGCCAUCCCCCUUGCAUGAAUGAAUCUUGUCCAAGAACUGGGAGAAACUUCAGAGGGGAAGCUCGCAUGUUGUUGGAGUUCAUCUAAAAACAACCAAACAAUCAAAAAUACUGCAAGCGGGGGAUUCCCCAUCCAUGGGAAAAAGAAUAUUAAAGUUCACUUCAACUGUGGGCCAAAGACAGGAUUUAAGCACCUGGUUAUUCUUUUAUUCACUCCCUUAUGAAUCAUGAUGUGAUAGCCAACCUGUCUCCAUUUUGUGCCUCAUCACCAUUCCCCCUCCCCCCUUGGGAGUCCUCUCUGUUGAUGCUUGACAGACCACUGCACCCCAUUUGGUAGAGCAGUCUGCAGCUAUAUGUUAUCUUUAUGACCUUGUGAAGAGAAUACUCUGCACCUAUGUGAUAUUUUGUUUCAACUAAAUUCUGUGAAACUUCCCCUGACCCUCACUAAUUUAGCAAAGCUCUGCUUCUGUAAAAUUCUGCUUGUGUUCCCCCUCUCCCAGAGCCGUCCCCAACUAGAAGAGCCACUAAAAAAGAAACCUGCAAGCUGCUUUUCGGGGUCAAGAGAUUCUGAGUGCUAGCUCCUCUCAACCGCC
RNAcentral lists this long non-coding RNA (765 nucleotides) under Heterocephalus glaber (naked mole-rat). RNAcentral describes it as "lncRNA (ENSHGLG00000043667.1)". The record is from RNAcentral. Lineage: Eukaryota; Metazoa; Chordata; Mammalia; Rodentia; Bathyergidae.